GACGAACGCUGGCGGCGUGCUUAACACAUGCAAGUCGAACGGAAAGGCCCUGCUUUUGUGGGGUGCUCGAGUGGCGAACGGGUGAGUAACACGUGAGUAACCUGCCCUUGACUUUGGGAUAACUUCAGGAAACUGGGGCUAAUACCGGAUAGGAGCUCCUGCUGCAUGGUGGGGGUUGGAAAGUUUCGGCGGUUGGGGAUGGACUCGCGGCUUAUCAGCUUGUUGGUGGGGUAGUGGCUUACCAAGGCUUUGACGGGUAGCCGGCCUGAGAGGGUGACCGGCCACAUUGGGACUGAGAGACGGCCCAGACUCGUACGGGAGGCAGCAGUGGGGAAUAUUGCACAAUGGGCGGAAGCCUGAUGCAGCAACGCCGCGUGCGGGAUGACGGCCUUCGGGUGGUAAACCGCUUUCGCCGGUGACGAAGCGUGAGUGACGGUAAUGGGUAAAGAAGCACCGGCUAACUACGUG
RNAcentral lists this ribosomal RNA (468 nucleotides) under uncultured bacterium. RNAcentral describes it as "partial 16S ribosomal RNA". It matches the Rfam family "Bacterial small subunit ribosomal RNA", at positions 28 to 507 of the family's 1533-position model. The record is from RNAcentral.